This 715-nucleotide small RNA is filed under the name Cryptococcus neoformans H99. RNAcentral describes it as "Cryptococcus neoformans var. grubii H99 hypothetical RNA". The record is from RNAcentral. Lineage: Eukaryota; Fungi; Basidiomycota; Tremellomycetes; Tremellales; Cryptococcaceae.
CAAUGACCUUCAUAUACAGCCGUAUUUACAUAAUGUCAAGGCAGACUUAAUAGGUUUACGACAAUACAAGGACAUGAGGGGAAACCCAGAUCCUUCAAACGACAAAACUUUCUGUUACAGGGUAAGGGCUACUAUGGCAAUGGCAUUACCGAUUAUUUGUGACUUUUAGGUAUUUUCUUUACAGAGGAUGAGGCCGAGUGGAGGUGAUCUGGUGGUGAUCCGGAAACCAAAUGAGGCCCGGUGAGCGACCGCUUGUUUGGGCAAAUUUCCUCGCAACCUUUUGUACUUAGAGAGGGGGUUAUUUUUAGUAUCGCUGAGCUCUGCUAAUCUAUAGCGUUCGAAUGGCAAAAGUUGAAUAGCUCUAUGUGCGUCGGUUGGCUUCAUGCAAAUAACACAGGUUGAUUCGCUAGGAUCUCAAACUCGCAGAAAUUGAUCGGCUGAAAACAGAUCCUGAUCAGGAAAAAGAAAAGAGAAAAACAAUGCGCCUUUGGUGGGCACCCUAGCGCGAACUGUUAAUGUUACCAAACUGCUUGCACGUAUCUCGUAUUUGUUGUCCUGGUUGACUAUUAUCACCAAGUGUUUGAUGUCUGACGCUACAUACUAUAACACAGCACUGUGGGUGCGGAACGAGAGAAUACCCAAGUGCCCCUCGCAUCGGAAAUCGGUUGAUGCCAGUUGGAAUAUUCAUCAUUAUGAAUGCAUAUCCUAGUGUCAG